Molecule: unclassified non-coding RNA, 121 nt
Filed under: Trypanosoma theileri
Lineage: Eukaryota; Euglenozoa; Kinetoplastea; Trypanosomatida; Trypanosomatidae
Description: partial trans-spliced leader sequence SL
Source: RNAcentral
AUUGGUAUGAGAAGCUUCCAGGAAUAACCUGUGUAUAAGGUGCAAGCCCUUUACACUAGGAUAUCUUCUGGCAAAUUUUGGAGGGAGGGUCUUCGGGCUCUCUUUUUUUUUUUAUUUUUUU